CUAUUUUUCUCUGUCUUUUCCAGGGUGGUAACUUUCUCAUCCGUUCAUCACCUUUCUUUACAUUUUCCUUCUAAUUUCGGUGACGAUGUAACACGAAUCUACUAUAUUGGCCUUCGCGGCGAGUUCAAUGAGGCACAUUACCAUGGGGUAACAAUAUGCACUUAUGAAGCACGCCCAAAUGUCAGCGAUCACAAAACUGAAACCUACGAUGCAGUGAAUCGCACAAUACAAUCAUGAAGUGAUAUAAUAAUAUUUACAUUUACAAUGGACCGAAUUGCGUGCUUUCAAAUAAAUUAUUUUAAUGUGUUUACAACAAA
Rhagoletis pomonella (apple maggot) is the source of this 317-nucleotide long non-coding RNA. RefSeq lists it as uncharacterized. The record is from RefSeq and is a predicted model, not a curated record. The transcript is spliced from 2 exons. Lineage: Eukaryota; Metazoa; Arthropoda; Insecta; Diptera; Tephritidae.